RNAcentral lists this ribosomal RNA (406 nucleotides) under uncultured bacterium. RNAcentral describes it as "partial 16S ribosomal RNA". It matches the Rfam family "Bacterial small subunit ribosomal RNA", at positions 30 to 526 of the family's 1533-position model. The record is from RNAcentral.
AUUGAACGCUGGCGGCAGGCCUAACACAUGCAAGUCGAGCGAGCGGCGGACGGGUGAGUAAUGUAUGGGGAUAUGCGCGAUAGAGGGGGAUAACUACUGGAAACGGUGGUCAAUACCGCAUACUAUCGGGGGAACCCAUAUGGGAUUAGCUAGUUGGUGGGGUAAAGGCUCACCAAGGCGACGAUCUCUAGCUGGUCUGAGAGGAUGAUCAGCCACACUGGAACUGAGACACGGCCCAGACGCCUACGGGAGGCAGCAGUGGGGAAUAUUGCACAAUGGGCGCAAGCCUGAUGCAGCCAUGCCGCGUGUAUGAAGAAGGCCUUAGGGUUGUAAAGUACUUUCAGCGGGGAGGCGUUACCCGCAGAAGAAGCACCGGCUAACUCCGUGCCAGCCGCCGCGGUAAUUC